Molecule: ribosomal RNA, 500 nt
Filed under: uncultured bacterium
Lineage: Bacteria
Description: partial 16S ribosomal RNA
Rfam family: Bacterial small subunit ribosomal RNA
Source: RNAcentral
AUUGAACGCUGGCGGCAUGCCUUACACAUGCAAGUCGAACGGCAGCACGGGAGCAAUCCUGGUGGCGAGUGGCGAACGGGUGAGUAAUAUAUCGGAACGUGCCCAGUCGUGGGGGAUAACGUAGCGAAAGCUACGCUAAUACCGCAUACGAUCUAUGGAUGAAAGCGGGGGAUCGCAAGACCUCGCGCGAUUGGCGCGGCCGAUGUCAGAUUAGGUAGUUGGUGAGGUAAAGGCUCACCAAGCCGACGAUCUGUAGCUGGUCUGAGAGGACGACCAGCCACACUGGGACUGAGACACGGCCCAGACUCCUACGGGAGGCAGCAGUGGGGAAUUUUGGACAAUGGGCGCAAGCCUGAUCCAGCAAUGCCGCGUGCAGGAUGAAGGCCUUCGGGUUGUAAACUGCUUUUGUACGGAACGAAACGGCGAGCUCUAAUACAGUUUGCUAAUGACGGUACCGUAAGAAUAAGCACCGGCUAACUACGUGCCAGCCGCCGCGGUAA